RNAcentral lists this ribosomal RNA (160 nucleotides) under Cladonia subcariosa. Its description in RNAcentral is "5.8S ribosomal RNA". It matches the Rfam family "5.8S ribosomal RNA". From Rfam's summary of the family: 5.8S ribosomal RNA (5.8S rRNA) is a component of the large subunit of the eukaryotic ribosome. Lineage: Eukaryota; Fungi; Ascomycota; Lecanoromycetes; Lecanorales; Cladoniaceae. The record is from RNAcentral.
AACUUUCAACAACGGAUCUCUUGGUUCUGGCAUCGAUGAAGAACGCAGCGAAAUGCGAUAAGUAAUGUGAAUUGCAGAAUUUAGUGAAUCAUCGAAUCUUUGAACGCACAUUGCGCCCCUCGGUAUUCCGGGGGGCAUGCCUGUUCGAGCGUCAUUACAC